UACGUAGGGGGCAAGCGUUAUCCGGAUUUACUGGGUGUAAAGGGAGCGUAGACGGCGAUGCAAGCCAGAUGUGAAAGCCCGGGGCUCAACCCCGGGACUGCAUUUGGAACUGUAUAGCUAGAGUGUCGGAGAGGCAGGCGGAAUUCCUAGUGUAGCGGUGAAAUGCGUAGAUAUUAGGAGGAACACCAGUGGCGAAGGCGGCCUGCUGGACGAUGACUGACGGUGAGGCGCGAAAGCGUGGGGAGCAAACAGG
RNAcentral lists this ribosomal RNA (253 nucleotides) under uncultured bacterium. RNAcentral describes it as "partial 16S ribosomal RNA". It matches the Rfam family "Bacterial small subunit ribosomal RNA", at positions 524 to 776 of the family's 1533-position model. The record is from RNAcentral.